Molecule: long non-coding RNA, 1889 nt
Filed under: Taeniopygia guttata (zebra finch)
Lineage: Eukaryota; Metazoa; Chordata; Aves; Passeriformes; Estrildidae
Description: lncRNA (ENSTGUG00000022638.1)
Source: RNAcentral
GGGAAAAUGAGGGGGGAAAUUGGGAAAAAUGAUGAAAAAUGAGGGGGAAAUGUCAAAAAAUUGGAAAAAUGAGGGAAAAAUUGGAAUUGAGGAGAAAAAAAGAUGGAAAAUGAGGGGGAAAUUGGGAAAUGAGGGGGAAAAUUGGGAAAAAAAGAUGGAAAAUGAGGGAGAAAAUCUAAAAAAUGUGGGAAAAUUGGGGGGAAUUGAAAAAUGAGGGGGAAAAUUGGAAAAUGAGGAGGAAAUUUGACAAAUGAGGGGGAAAUUGGGAAAUGAGGAGGAAAAUGAGGUGGAAAAAUACCAAAAUUAAGUGGAAAAAUAUGAAAAUUAAGUGGAAAAAUACCAAAAUUAGGUGGGAAAAUUCAAAAAUUAGGUGGGAAAAUACCAAAAUUAAGUGGGAAAAUAUCAAAAUUAAGUUGAAAAAUACCAAAAUUUGGUGGGAAAAUACCAAAAUUAGGUGGAAAAAUACCAAAAUUAGGUGGAAAAAUUCCAAAAUUAGGUGGAAAAUAAUUGGAAUGAGGGGAAAAAAAAUGGGAUCGGGGGAAUUCCCAUCCGGACACGACAAAUUCGGGAUUUGGGGUGGGAUGAGUUUAUUUCCAAUGGAAUCAGAGCAGAAUUAAAAAAAAACCCCAAAAUCCAACUUUUCCCUCCCCCAAAUUCCCUCGUUCCCGGUUUUUCCAGCGGAGUUUUCCAUGGAUUUCUCCAUCCCACUGUGAGUUUUCCACGGAUUUCUCAUUUUUGGGAGUUUUCCAUGGAUUUUUCGGCGAUGGGAAAGAGUUUUCCAUGAAUUUCUCAUUUAUGGGAAGAGUUUUCCAUGGAUUUCUCAUUUUUGGGCAUUUCUCCAUCCCACCGUGAUUUUUCCAUGGAUUUCUCGUUUUUGGGCAUUUUCCAUGGAUUUCUCCAUCCCACCGCGAGUUUUCCAUGGAUUUCUCAUUUUUGUGAGUUUUCCAUGGAUUUCUCAUUUUUGGGAGUUUUCCAUGGAUUUCUCAUUUAUGGGAAAAGUUUUCCAUGGAUUUCUCAUUUUUGGGCAUUUUCCAUGGAUUUCUCCAUCCCACCAUGAUUUUUCCAUGGAUUUCUCAUUUUUGGGAAAGAGUUUUCCAUGGAUUUCUCAUUUUUGGGAGUUUUCCAUGGAUUUCUCAUUUUUGGGAAAGAGUUUUCCAUGGGUUUCUCAUUUAUUGGAAAGAUUUUUCCAUGGAUUUCUCUGUGAAUCCAUCCCACAGGAAGUUUUCCAUGGAUUUCUCAUUUUUGGGAGUUUUCCAUGGAUUUCUCCAUCUCACGUUGAGUUUUCCAUGGAUUUCUCAUUUUUGGGAGUUUUCCGUGGAUUUCUCAGCAAUGGGAAAAGUCUUCCAUGGAUUUCUCGUUUUUGGAAGUUUUCCAUGGAUUUCUCAUUUUUGGGAGUUUUCUGUGGAUUUCUCGGCGAUGGGAAAGAGUUUUCCAUGGAUUUCUCAUUUUUGGGAAAGAGUUUUCCAUGGAUUUCUCCAUCCCACCGCGAAUUUUCCCUGGAAUUCUCAUUUUUGGGAGUUUUCCAUGGAUUUCUCAUUAUGGGAAAGAUUUUUCUAUGGAUUUCUCAUUUUUGGGAGUUUUCCAUGGAUUUCUCCAUCCCACCGCGAGUUUUCCAUGGAUUUCUCAUUAUGGGAAAGAGUUUUCCAUGGAUUUCUCAUUUAUGUGAAGGAGUUUUCCGCGGAUUUCUCCGAGACGUCGUUCCCGGGGUUGAUCCUUUGGGAAUUUCCUGCUCUGUGGGAUUCCUGCCAGGAACCUGCUCCUUUUUCCAUGGAUCCACAGCUCCUUGCCAAGGAAUUUUGGGAAUUUCCAGUCCAGCAGCUCGGAAUCGUCUCCGGAGUCGUUCCAGCCCCGGAGCUUCCCCGAAUUUGGCCACAAAAAGGCAAUUCUGA